Stomoxys calcitrans (stable fly) is the source of this 401-nucleotide long non-coding RNA. RefSeq lists it as uncharacterized. The transcript has 6 exons. Lineage: Eukaryota; Metazoa; Arthropoda; Insecta; Diptera; Muscidae. The record is from RefSeq and is a predicted model, not a curated record.
UGAUAAAAGCAGCAGCAACAAGCGGACCGGCCAUGUUGGAGAAAAUUCAAUGAUUCCAAGGAAAAACUAGAGGACGACAACAGCUAAACCCAGGGCUGUACCACCAAAGGCUGGAAGACUCCCACUGGAAAUCAGGUGAUUAAGGUACUAACAAAAAUCGCCUGCCAGCCCCAUCUGACCAAUAAGCAUCAGACAUUAGACGCUUGUAAGUUCACCUAAAGUAAGGCUAUCUUCAAAGGAUCCAGACCGCCUCUUCACCCACAAAUGCCAUAAUCUCCUGUCUCGCAUCGAAAAAGGAUAACGAAGGCAAAACGGUUUGUGGGUGCUUCGUGUGAAAUCUAAACUAAUGGAAAGGAAUAUCUCACGCAGACCCUGACCGAAGAGAUGACUAUGGACACUAG